AGAGCUAAAUCAAUAAAUUAAUCUUUAUUUAUUUACUUCCAAAUCCACUUUUAAGCUAAUUAUUUCAAUCAAUUAUCCAUUUAAAUAAAUUUAUUGUAACCCAUUUCUUCUUAUAUAUAUACUGAACCUUGACCUGACAUUAAAUUUAAUAAAAAUUUUAGAAAAUUAUUACCCUCUUAAGACAUUCUGAUGACGGCGGUAUACAAAUUGUAAACAAAUAUAAGCGAGGUUCAUCGUGGAUCAUCGAUUAUAGAACAGGUUCCUCUGAAUAGACUAAAACACCGCCAAAUUCUUUGAGUUUCAAGAACUUAACUCUUACUACUCAGAUUUAAUAAUUUUACAUUUUAAAUAAUAGGGUAUCUAAUCCUAGUUUAUUAUUAAAAUUUUACAGUUUAAAUAAAUCAAAAAUUUAAAAUUAAAUAAAUUUAAAAUUUCACCUAACAAAUUUAUUAUUAUUUUAAUUUAUUAAUCAAUUUAACUAAAACCAAAAAUCAUUUACUUUUACUUUUUG
Molecule: ribosomal RNA, 511 nt
Filed under: Bittacomorpha clavipes
Lineage: Eukaryota; Metazoa; Arthropoda; Insecta; Diptera; Ptychopteridae
Description: partial 12S ribosomal RNA
Source: RNAcentral